This 254-nucleotide ribosomal RNA is filed under the name uncultured bacterium. Its description in RNAcentral is "partial 16S ribosomal RNA". It matches the Rfam family "Bacterial small subunit ribosomal RNA", at positions 524 to 776 of the family's 1533-position model. The record is from RNAcentral.
UACGUAGGGGGGCAAGCGUUGUCCGGAAUCAUUGGGCGUAAAGCGCGUGUAGGCGGCUGGCUAAGUCCGCUCUGAAAGCCCGGGGCUCAACCCCGGGAGGCGGGUGGAUACUGGUCAGCUCGAGUCCGGAAGAGGAGUGUGGAAUUCCUGGUGUAGCGGUGAAAUGCGCAGAUAUCAGGAGGAACACCGGUGGCGAAGGCGGAUCUCUGGGCCUUACCUGACGCUGAGGCGCGAAAGCUAGGGGAGCGAACAGG